GGAAAGUGGUCAUGGUCGGAACUUUUGGGAGACGGGGGAUUUUGGUUUUCUUGGUGUACCUGUCGAUGUUACUUUGGUUCUAAAUAAUGCCGAAAAAUCCUAGUGCCUAUGAAGGACAUCGAAUACAAUCACUGGAUACUGGCUGUAUUGGACAUUAAGAGUUCCUCUGCAUCGUAUUGGGACUCCAUGUCCACUGCACGCGCAAAAAGGCACAGGAUACAUAUGCUUAGCACACUGUUGAAGAAGCUUGAUAAGUUGCUGUUGAGGACGAUGGAUGAUGUGCAUUCUGGCCGACCUGUUUUUGAAGUUUUCAAUAUAGUGCCUGCCGGAAAACUCCCGCAAUAGGACAAUGGACAUGAUUGUGGUAUUUUUGUCAUGAGGUUUAUGGAGUACAUUGCA
Molecule: long non-coding RNA, 399 nt
Organism: Humulus lupulus (European hop)
Lineage: Eukaryota; Viridiplantae; Streptophyta; Magnoliopsida; Rosales; Cannabaceae
Exons: 3
Source: RefSeq, a predicted model, not a curated record